Molecule: long non-coding RNA, 126 nt
Organism: Etheostoma cragini (Arkansas darter)
Lineage: Eukaryota; Metazoa; Chordata; Actinopteri; Perciformes; Percidae
Exons: 3
Source: RefSeq, a predicted model, not a curated record
UUUUUGUUUCCAGGCAACAGCUACUGAUCCACGGAUCCACAAGCUAAAGUUAAAGCUAAUCAGAGUGAUGAGAUUUAAGGUCUUCUCAGGCCUGGGAGGCUGCGGCUUUGUCUCGGCCACAGGUCG